AGUGGGAUAGCUGGGUCAAGUGGUGGAACUUUCCAUUCCAAGUUUUCUAAGGAAUCUCCAUACUGCUUUCCAGAUUGGCUGCACCAAUUUGCAGUCCCACCAGCAAU
RNAcentral lists this microRNA precursor (107 nucleotides) under Marmota monax (woodchuck). The record is from RNAcentral. Lineage: Eukaryota; Metazoa; Chordata; Mammalia; Rodentia; Sciuridae.